RNAcentral lists this ribosomal RNA (1634 nucleotides) under Psilachnum staphyleae. RNAcentral describes it as "eukaryotic LSU rRNA". It matches the Rfam family "Eukaryotic large subunit ribosomal RNA", at positions 64 to 1418 of the family's 3401-position model. Lineage: Eukaryota; Fungi; Ascomycota; Leotiomycetes; Helotiales; Pezizellaceae. The record is from RNAcentral.
ACCAACAGGGAUUGCCUCAGUAACGGCGAGUGAAGCGGCAACAGCUCAAAUUUGAAAUCUGGCUCCUCAGGGGCCCGAGUUGUAAUUUGUAGAAGAUGCUUUGGGUGAGGUACCGGUCUAAGUCCCUUGGAACAGGGCGUCGUAGAGGGUGAGAAUCCCGUAUGUGACCGGUUGCCUUCGCCUAUGUAAAGCUCUUUCGACGAGUCGAGUUGUUUGGGAAUGCAGCUCUAAAUGGGUGGUAUAUUUCAUCUAAAGCUAAAUAUUGGCCAGAGACCGAUAGCGCACAAGUAGAGUGAUCGAAAGAUGAAAAGCACUUUGGAAAGAGAGUUAAACAGUACGUGAAAUUGUUGAAAGGGAAGCGCUUGCAAUCAGACUUGUAUGUAGUUGAUCAUCUGGUGUUUUCACCGGUGCACUCUGCUAUAUUCAGGCCAGCAUCGGUUCUAGUGGUUGGAUAAAGGCCUGUGGAACGUAGCUCCUCUCGGGGAGUGUUAUAGCCUCAGGUGCAAUGCAGCCCACUGGGACCGAGGACCGCGCUUCGGCUAGGAUGCUGGCGUAAUGGUUGUAAGCGACCCGUCUUGAAACACGGACCAAGGAGUCUAACAUCUGUGCAAGUGUUUGGGUGUCAAACCCAUUCGCGUAAUGAAAGUGAACGGAGGUGAGAACCCUUAAGGGUGCAUCAUCGACCGAUCCUGAUGUCUUCGGAUGGAUUUGAGUAAGAGCAUAGCUGUUGGGACCCGAAAGAUGGUGAACUAUGCGUGAAUAGGGUGAAGCCAGAGGAAACUCUGGUGGAGGCUCGCAGCGGUUCUGACGUGCAAAUCGAUCGUCAAAUUUGCGCAUAGGGGCGAAAGACUAAUCGAACCAUUGGAACUACUACUCGGUGGUUAAGAGGUGCUAUAGCGCCUAACUCGCCAGGGUAAUACUAUCAAAUUGCGGGGACAUCCUGUUAACUUCCAAACCACCGCAGCCCCCCCGAAAGGGGAGGUGCGCACCAGGGUAACGACCUCGGGGAUGGUAAAAGCGUUUGGAUAGGGACAAUCCGCAGCCAAGUCCUACCGGCCCUUGAGCCCAUGGAUGCAGUUCACAGACUAAAUGUUAGUAGGUUAGGGUCUCCCUGGCUUAAGGUAUAGUCGAUCCCCUCCGGAGACGGUGGGGUAUAGGAGCUAGUAGCUGGUUCCUGCCGAAGUUUCCCUCAGGAUAGCAGUGUUGAAUUCAGUUUUAUGAGGUAAAGCGAAUGAUUAGAGGCCUUGGGGUUGCAACAACCUUAACCUAUUCUCAAACUUUAAAUAUGUAAGAAGUCCUUGUUACUUAAUUGAACGUGGACAUUCGAAUGUACCAACACUAGUGGGCCAUUUUUGGUAAGCAGAACUGGCGAUGCGGGAUGAACCGAACGUGAAGUUAAGGUGCCGGAAUAUACGCUCAUCAGACACCACAAAAAGUGUUAGUUCAUCUAGACAGCAGGACGGUGACCAUGGAAGUCGGGAUCCGCUAAGGACUGUGUAACAACUCACCUGCCGAAUGAACUAGCCUUGAAAAUGGAUGGCGCUUAAGCGUAUUACCUAUACUUCACCGCCAGGGUAGAAACGAUGCCCUGGCGAGUAGGCAGGCGUGGAGGUCAGUGACGAAGCCUUGGGAGG